This 446-nucleotide ribosomal RNA is filed under the name uncultured bacterium. RNAcentral describes it as "partial 16S ribosomal RNA". It matches the Rfam family "Bacterial small subunit ribosomal RNA", at positions 338 to 795 of the family's 1533-position model. The record is from RNAcentral.
CCUACGGGAGGCUGCAGUAGGGAAUUUUCGGCAAUGGGCGGAACCCUGACCGAGCAACGUCGCGUGAACGAUGAAGUCCCUAUUAAUGUAAAGUUCCUUUUAUAGGGAAGUAAGAGAAAUUUGACGGUACCUGAUGCAUAAGCUCUGUCUAACUACGUGCCAGCAGCCGCGGUAAUAAGCCGGGAGCGAGCGUUAUCCGGAGUUAUUGGGCUUAAAGGGUGGGUUGAUGGCAUAGUAAGUCUUUUGUAAAAGUGCUGGGCUCAAGCCAAUAGGGCAAAAGAUACUGGAAAUUUGGAGUAUAGCAGAGGCAGGUGGAAGUAGAGGUGUAGCGGUAAAAUGCGGAAAUAUAAGUAAGAACACCAGUGGCGAAGGCAGCUUGCUGGGUCGAUACUGACAUUGAGGCACGAAAGCGUGGGGAGCAAACAGGAUUAGAUACCCUUGUAGUC